This 823-nucleotide ribosomal RNA is filed under the name uncultured bacterium. Its description in RNAcentral is "bacterial SSU rRNA". It matches the Rfam family "Bacterial small subunit ribosomal RNA", at positions 636 to 1458 of the family's 1533-position model. The record is from RNAcentral.
UNUGACUUGAGUGCAGAAGGGGAGAGUGGAAUUCCAUGUGUAGCGGUGAAAUGCGUAGAUAUAUGGAGGANCACCAGUGGCGAAAGCGGCUCUCUGNUCUGUCACUGACGCUGAGGCUNGAAAGCGUGGGUAGCGAACAGGAUUAGAUACCCUGGUAGUNCACGCCGUAAACGAUGAGUGCUAGGUGUUAGGCCCUUUCCGGGGCUUAGUGCCGGAGCUAACGCAAUAAGCACUCCGCCUGGGGAGUACGACCGCAAGGUUGAAACUCAAAGGAAUUGACGGGGGCCCGCACAAGCGGUGGAGCAUGUGGUUUAAUUCGAAGCAACGCGAAGAACCUUACCAGGUCUUGACAUCCCGAUGCUAUUCUUAGAGAUAGGAAGUUACUUCGGUACAUCGGAGACAGGUGGUGCAUGGUUGUCGUCAGCUCGUGUCGUGAGAUGUUGGGUUAAGUCCCGCAACGAGCGCAACCCUUAUUGUUAGUUGCCAUCAUUAAGUUGGGCACUCUAGCGAGACUGCCGGUAAUAAACCGGAGGAAGGUGGGGAUGACGUCAAAUCAUCAUGCCCCUUAUGACCUGGGCUACACACGUGCUACAAUGGUCGGUACAACGAGUUGCGAGCCGGUGACGGCAAGCUAAUCUCUGAAAGCCGAUCUCAGUUCGGAUUGGAGGCUGCAACUCGCCUCCAUGAAGUCGGAAUCGCUAGUAAUCGCGGAUCAGCACGCCGCGGUGAAUACGCUCCCGGGCCUUGUACACACCGCCCGUCACACCACGAGAGUUUGUAACACCCGAAGUCGGUGAGGUAACCUUUUAGGGGCCAGCCGCCU